GGGCAGUCCACAGGCAUAGAUUUGCACGAUCUAAUGGUUGAAGACGUGUGUAGUUUGAUCAGAGUGAUCUAGUGGCCUGAUCUGAUGGUCGGAAGGUUUUUUGAGUUCUAAUCAGAGUCUGAUCUUUGAUCUGAGCUUGGAUUGAGGUCUUUAAAAAUUCAAUGGACAAACAGAGGGCUCGAUGGUAGCAGUGGACGGUCAGCAGAGAAUCUUGUGUGUAGAACAGAGUAGCUCAGCAG
This 239-nucleotide long non-coding RNA is filed under the name Elaeis guineensis (African oil palm). Its description in RNAcentral is "long non-coding RNA (EGUI_LNC033890)". The record is from RNAcentral. Lineage: Eukaryota; Viridiplantae; Streptophyta; Magnoliopsida; Arecales; Arecaceae.